GAGUUUGAUCAUGGCUCAGGACGAACGCUGGCGGCGCGCCUAACACAUGCAAGUCGAACGAGCGAGAGAGAGCUUGCUUUCUCGAGCGAGUGGCGAACGGGUGAGUAACGCGUGAGGAACCUGCCUCAAAGAGGGGGACAACAGUUGGAAACGACUGCUAAUACCGCAUAAGCCCACGACCCGGCAUCGGGUUGAGGGAAAAGGAGCAAUCCGCUUUGAGAUGGCCUCGCGUCCGAUUAGCUAGUUGGUGAGGUAACGGCCCACCAAGGCGACGAUCGGUAGCCGGACUGAGAGGUUGAACGGCCACAUUGGGACUGAGACACGGCCCAGACUCCUACGGGAGGCAGCAGUGGGGAAUAUUGCACAAUGGGGGAAACCCUGAUGCAGCGACGCCGCGUGGAGGAAGAAGGUCUUCGGAUUGUAAACUCCUGUUGUUGAGGAAGAUAAUGACGGUACUCAACAGGAAGUGACGGCUAACUACGUGCCAGCAGCCGCCGUAAC
RNAcentral lists this ribosomal RNA (501 nucleotides) under uncultured bacterium. RNAcentral describes it as "bacterial SSU rRNA". It matches the Rfam family "Bacterial small subunit ribosomal RNA", at positions 9 to 524 of the family's 1533-position model. The record is from RNAcentral.